UACGUAGGGUGCAAGCGUUGUCCGGAAUUAUUGGGCGUAAAGAGCUCGUAGGCGGUGUGUCGCGUCGGCCGUGAAAACCUGCAGCUUAACUGUGGGCUUGCGGUCGAUACGGGCAUCACUGGAGUUCGGCAGGGGAGACUGGAAUUCCUGGUGUAGCGGUGAAAUGCGCAGAUAUCAGGAGGAACACCAGUGGCGAAGGCGCCGCUCUGGGCCGACACUGACGCUGAGGAGCGAAAGCGUGGGUAGCAAACAGG
This 254-nucleotide ribosomal RNA is filed under the name uncultured bacterium. RNAcentral's name for it is "partial 16S ribosomal RNA". It matches the Rfam family "Bacterial small subunit ribosomal RNA", at positions 524 to 776 of the family's 1533-position model. The record is from RNAcentral.